Molecule: long non-coding RNA, 333 nt
Organism: Saccostrea cuccullata (small rock oyster)
Lineage: Eukaryota; Metazoa; Mollusca; Bivalvia; Ostreida; Ostreidae
Exons: 2
Source: RefSeq, a predicted model, not a curated record
GUUCGAACUAAUUUGACAUCUCUUCGGGUAAACAGAGGAGCACAUGUGUAUCCAGAGACUAUCUAAAAAGGGAAGAUUAACGAAUUAAUGCGAAGUCAUGAUGAGCAUAUACAAUACAACGGAAAAACAGGUUGUGGAAGCUUUGGAAAAUUAUCUCAAAUGGGCCCCGGAGAAAGGAUUGUGGCCGUAGAAAAUGACAUUAUGCCGACUCUUAAUGAUGGAACUUUCAUUUAUACAUGUAGCUUAUCUGAGCCCAUGGGCCUCUUCUUAAUGAUAAAAUAAAUAUUUCAUGAAGAUUUUGAUAACAGAUUAGAUUAAACCAAUUUAAAUGUA